Molecule: ribosomal RNA, 2724 nt
Filed under: Triticum aestivum (bread wheat)
Lineage: Eukaryota; Viridiplantae; Streptophyta; Magnoliopsida; Poales; Poaceae
Description: partial small subunit ribosomal RNA
Source: RNAcentral
AUGGCGCUAAUCAAUCCCUCCACCACACACAUCUACCCACAGCCGCCGCCUCCACAGCCAAUCCAUCCAACCUCUUCUUCCUCCUCCGGCUGCUCUCCCCCUUCAUUCCUCCAAACCCUAGCGCAAACCCUAAUGUCCACCACCGCACACCCUCCUGCCUCCCUCUCAGGGGACUCCUCGCCGACUACCUCCGGCUCAUCCUCCCCCUCCUCCUCCGCCGCCGUCGCUGGCUCCGAGGAGCCCGCGCUUCUCGGGCAAGCCACCUCGACUUCCACCCCCUCUGCUGCCGGGGAUGACGCCGCCGUCCCCUCCUCGCCCCAAAUGGGCAUGUACUUCGAGACGGAGGACGACGCCUACGAGUUCUACAAGGCAUACGCCGCCCGCCUUGGCUUCGUCGUCCGCAAGUCCAACAAGUCCAAGAACUCCCGGCACACCGUCACCCGCCGUCUCUUCGUCUGCUCCAAGCAAGGUUUCCGCCAAGAACCCAAGAAGCCUCAAGAUGAGACCAACGCCACCGACGUCACCGUUGCUGCAUCGCCACCGCCUCCUAGGUGCCCGGACUCACGCACCGGCUGCUUGGCGUCCCUCACCAUCAAGCUACUCCCUUCGGCCAAUGCCUUCCGUGUCACUGAAUUUGUCGCCGAGCACAACCACCCGCUCGCCUCUGCAGUGUCCGCGGUGGCAAUGAUUCCGUCAAGUUCUUCGCAUCACACCAUUGCCGCUGCCGCAAGCUUGCCGGACCCAAGGGACGGGCCACGCCCAGAGAUGCACUUCGAGACGGAAGAUGACGCCUAUGCCUUCUACAACCGGUACGCCGAGCAUGUGGGUUUCAGCGUCCGCCGCUCAUACAAGAAGCGCAAGCAUGGGGUGAUCGUGUCUCGUAUCUUUGUUUGUUCCCGUGAGGGCGUCAGUGACCGUGCCAAGCAUGAUGGCCUAGCCAGUAUCAGCGCCAAUGCUGGUGGAGGGGCACCAGGCCCACCUAGGCCAGGCCCACCACCAACACGAACAGGUUGCCAGGCAAGAAUGGUGAUCAAGAUCACCCCAUGCCGAACAUACCGGGUUGCUAAAUUUAUUGCGGAGCAUAAUCACCCACUCGCUAACUCAGAGACCGUGCACAAGCUGCGGUCCCAUAAGAUGAGGGCUCGAGGGCAUGAGCUUGGCCCAGGGGAACUGCAUCGAAGGAAGCAGGGAAAGGGUGUGCAGCUUGGGGAUGCUGGUGCUGCAUUGGAAUACUUGGAAGGGUUGCAGGUGGGAAACCCUUCACUGUAUUAUGCAGUAGGAAUGGCACCUGAUGGGAAUUUAGCUGUAAAUUUCUUCUGGGCUGAUGCAAAGUCAAUCAUCGACUUCAGAAGCUUUGGUGAUGUCGUUUGCUUUGAUACAACAUAUGGGCUGAAUGUGUAUGGGCGACCAUUUGCAUUGUUUGUUGGUGUGGACAACCACAAGCAGUUACUCGUGCUUGGUGCAGCCUUGCUCUAUGAUGAUGGCAUCCAGUCACUGAAAUGGGUAUUUCAGGCGUUUGAUGAUGCCAUGCGUGAUAGGCAGCCAAAGACUAUUCUGAUUGAUGAGCGUUCUGAAUGUGCCAUUGCAGCAGCAGAGGUCUGGCCUGGGAGUAACCAUUGCACAAGCGUGUGGCAUAUAUACCACAGUUCAAAGAGGCACUUGAAGCAGGUGUUUGAAAGCUCGAAAAGUUUUGGCAAUGCUUUGAGCCAGUGUCUCUUUGACUGUGAGGAUGAGAUGGAGUUCUUGUCUGCAUGGGAAAAGCUAAUUGAGAAACAUGACAUUGGUGAGAGUGAAUGGCUCAGCAGACUAUUUCUAGAGAAAGAAAAAUGGGCUCUGCCUUAUAGGAGAACUGUGUUUUCUGCUGAUAUUCUCAGUACUCUUAGAAAGGAUAGUAUGAUUAAUGAGCUAAAACGGGAGCUCAAUGAGCAAGAAGAUAUUCUGCUGUUCUUCAAGCGUUACGAGACCAUGCUGGAAGAGCAUCGCUCAAAGAAAUUGCAGGCUGAUGUUGAUGGAAAUCAGGUGACUUUGCCAAUCCCGUCCUUGCGAAUGUUAAAACAAUCUUCAAAUGCAUAUACACCUGAAGCUUUCAAGAUGUUCCAGGGUGAGUUUGAGGCUUACAUGAACUGCAUGUCCUUCCCCUGCAGUGUGGUUGGGACAGUGUCAGAGUACAAAAUAACACUUGAUGAGAAGCCAUCAGACGCCAUUGUGAAAUUUGAUGCACUAGAUGGCUUGGCCACUUGCAGCUGCAGGAAGUUUGAAUCUGUUGGAAUCCAGUGUUGUCAUGUACUAAAGGUACUUGAUCUCAAGAAUAUCAAGGAGCUCCCAGAACAAUACAUUUUGAAGAGAUGGAGGAAAGAUGCCCGCUCUGUUAGAAUGGGAGAAGAACCUAACUGUGGAUCUAGCAGUAUCAUGCGGUCAUCUUUGGAUGUUCGCUUCUCUAACAUGUGCCGUAUGGUUAGCCUUAUAGCUUCAAGGGCCGCCAAAUCUGAGGAGGCAAUGUCAUACAUUGAGAGUCAAUCAAGCGUUCUUCUGAAGCAUCUGGAUGAAAUUCUACAGACAAGCUAUCCUGAGAAUGGAAACCAUGAUGUUGCUUCAAGUAGUCAAGCAAUUUCUUUUGUAGGAAAUCAUCCUGACCAUACAACACAAGCAAGAGCAGUUGCAGAUACAGCGAAUGGACUGACAUCCUUGUUGGGAAUUUCUGCUUAUCCUCCAGUGGACAAUUGA